CAGGAAUAGGCAAAUUCAGACCAACACUGGACAUGAAAGUCACCGAUGGACAGCCAAGGGAAAUGCAGACACAUGUUGAACUAAGGAGACUUACGGAGCCCACACAGGUAAGGGUGCACAGUAAGACGCUCUGCCUGGACAAGCAUCUUCAGCAGGAUAAACGCAUGGCGCAGGAGGAGAGCGCACCAGGCCAGCAGUCCGUGGCUGCAUCUUUCCAUGGAGCGUGUUGAAUUGCACAGCUACCCAUCUUAGGAUUCCUCCUAAGUUCCCUCAGCCUACCUUCUCAAAUAUCUUUUGUUCACAGUAAAUGCUGAGAGCAUUUCUUUUUUCAGCUGACUCUGGUUGCUUUAAGAUUUAUGCACUCAUGUGGAAUAGAUCAGUGAAAUGUGAAAAGAUUUUAAAAUAUGGGCAAAGCCAAUUUUGUCAGAGUCAUCCUUGCAAACUCUUUUGGGUCCAACCAUCAUAUUGUUUAACAAGAUACAAAUCUUCCUGGUAAUGCAGAGAUACCCUUUAAUUUGUAUUUGCAGAAUUUAAUUCAAUGCCUCAUUCAGUGCAAGAAAAAUGAGUUUAAGCAGCUGGAACCUAGUGCUUGGAAUGGAGAGGAGAGAAUGAAUUGACUGCUGACUGGACGAUGUGGCGAAGUCUUAGAGAAAGACACCUCCGUCACAUGAGUUGAGACCUCCAUGUUGAACUGUCCUGGGGCGACUCCUGGAAGCCAGUGAUAAAUAAAGGAUGCUCUGGCUUUCAAAACCAGAAAGCAUCUUCGUGUGAAAGCAGUAUAGUAAAAAGUCUUUGAAGACUGGGUGUUCAUUUCGCCAAACAUUUUGUGCUUUCACCAAAACAAACACCACUAUUAUAUAAUAUUUAAGGCCAAAGUGAGGAUUAUUGGGGGCGGGAUGAUUACCUUGUGCUGUUUUAUCUCAGGGGGGAUCUCCCGGCCUGUGUCUGAGGUCCAGCCUGCAGCCCUUGAGGAUGUGUGGGAUGGGUCCUUGCAAAGGAAGCAGUUUGCCCUCAGGUGUCUCCCUGAGACUUGAUCAUUUCAUGGUGAAGUGCACCAUCCAGGGUGGCCUCUGACUUUGCUUUCUGGACUUGGGAAAAGCCCUCUUCAGCUUCCUGUUCCAGGUAAGGACGCUGCCUUAGGCAGUAAGUCUGCUGUCACUGGGUAUGGAGAUAUAGGUUCCCAUGGCAACCCCUUAAGUUUGAGACGUGACAGGUUUUCCAGCUGGCCACUCCCAAUGUCUACACCACAUUCUGCUGUAGGUCAUCUCUGCUGCAUCUUCCCAACUUCAUCUGCUGCACUGUGUGUUCCCUUCCAAGCCCCUUUCUUACAAAAGAGAUGGGCUAAAACUUUGACUUAAU
Molecule: long non-coding RNA, 1359 nt
Filed under: Chinchilla lanigera (long-tailed chinchilla)
Lineage: Eukaryota; Metazoa; Chordata; Mammalia; Rodentia; Chinchillidae
Description: lncRNA (ENSCLAG00000027253.1)
Source: RNAcentral